GUCAUCAUGGUGACAAUCAGGCUACCUUUUUCUUGUAUCUGUUUUAAAAGUUUUCACUCGGUAACUUGCAAUCGCUGUGCCCCUUGCAGCUGUUUACCCUUGAAGCCAUGCUUGGAGCUCGUCUGUUUGGAAGAUUACUUACCAGCACUCUGUGGACCGCUUCUGUAAAUCAGCUACCCUCCUCACCACUGUUGCAGCAACAGCUCCAGCUUGCCUAUCCACCUGCCAACUGUCUGGAACCUUCCUGCCGACUCUGUACUCCCUUCACACUCUGCCUGCCUGCCAUAACAACACACAGUAUAGUUGCCGCUGCUUCAUAAAGGACCAGUUUAAAGACGUGGCAGAGCCGCCGCAUACUGCAGCGCCGGAGCAGGUUUUAUAUCCUGCUUAGGCCAGCGUGGGACAGAACAUCGGUGUUUGCUUUGUACUCUCAGGUGAUGUCCAGGAUUCGACAGAGGCAUCACAAGUACAAGGUGUGGAUUGCAGUGAAGUCAAUUGAGCAUCCAGACUCAGAGGCUUGAAUUUUAAUUUGUGAAAAAUGCAAAGUGGGAUUGUUUUGGGGUAAGUCCAUGAAAUCCAAGUUGCACAGUAGCUUCAUAUUCAGUGGUAGGCUAUGCUACAAUAUGUGUGCAUGAUGGUGUAUUAUUGAAAGCUCACUGAAGAACAUGAGUGCUAUAUAAAGGCAGAUUUUUUUACACUU
This is a long non-coding RNA of Oreochromis niloticus (Nile tilapia), 700 nucleotides long. RefSeq lists it as uncharacterized. The record is from RefSeq and is a predicted model, not a curated record. The transcript is spliced from 4 exons. Lineage: Eukaryota; Metazoa; Chordata; Actinopteri; Cichliformes; Cichlidae.